Molecule: ribosomal RNA, 474 nt
Filed under: Clostridioides difficile
Lineage: Bacteria; Bacillati; Bacillota; Clostridia; Peptostreptococcales; Peptostreptococcaceae
Description: bacterial SSU rRNA
Rfam family: Bacterial small subunit ribosomal RNA
Source: RNAcentral
UUUUAUUUGAGAGUUUGAUCCUGGCUCAGGAUGAACGCUGGCGGCGUGCCUAACACAUGCAAGUUGAGCGAUUUACUUCGGUAAAGAGCGGCGGACGGGUGAGUAACGCGUGGGUAACCUACCCUGUACACACGGAUAACAUACCGAAAGGUAUGCUAAUACGGGAUAAUAUAUUUGAGAGGCAUCUCUUGAAUAUCAAAGGUGAGCCAGUACAGGAUGGACCCGCGUCUGAUUAGCUAGUUGGUAAGGUAACGGCUUACCAAGGCGACGAUCAGUAGCCGACCUGAGAGGGUGAUCGGCCACAUUGGAACUGAGACACGGUCCAAACUCCUACGGGAGGCAGCAGUGGGGAAUAUUGCACAAUGGGCGAAAGCCUGAUGCAGCAACGCCGCGUGAGGGAUGAAGGCCUUCGGGUCGUAAAACUCUGUCCUCAAGGAAGAUAAUGACGGUACUUGAGGAGGAAGCCCCGGCUAA